This 104-nucleotide Y RNA is filed under the name Mandrillus leucophaeus (drill). RNAcentral's name for it is "Y RNA (ENSMLEG00000003464.1)". It matches the Rfam family "Y RNA". From Rfam's summary of the family: Y RNAs are components of the Ro ribonucleoprotein particle (Ro RNP), in association with Ro60 and La proteins. The Y RNAs and Ro60 and La proteins are well conserved, but the function of the Ro RNP is not known. In humans the RNA component can be one of four small RNAs -- hY1, hY3, hY4 and hY5. Lineage: Eukaryota; Metazoa; Chordata; Mammalia; Primates; Cercopithecidae. The record is from Rfam by way of RNAcentral.
GGCUGUCGGAAGUUAGUGAGUUACCACAAUUGAUUGUUCAUAGUUACAGAUUUAACUCUUUGUUCUACUCUUUCCCCCUUCUCACUACUAGUGACUAGUCUUUA